CCGAACCAGAGUUCCUAGGCACGGCCCCGUGCACCCAGUCGGGAGCCUCCCUGCUAAGGGUCAGCGAAGGCUUGGGGUGCUGGCAUUAGGGCUGGGUCCUGAGGGAAGAUGAGGGAGAGAAGUAUAGGAGGAGGAGGGAGUUGAAGGCUGCAGACAGGAGGAGGAAGGGGAGGGAGUAGGGCUGCCAGGGGAGGGGUGGAGGGCUGGAUAAGGAGGAGGGCUACAAAGAAAAGAGUAAAGCUGCAGGGAAGGAGGGUGGAGGGCUGCAGCGGGAGGAGGAGAGGGAGGAAGGCUGCAAGGGGAGGAGGAGGAGUAUUGCAGGGGAGGGGGAGGAGAGCUGGCAGUGGAGGAGGAGGAGUAUUGCAGGGGAGGGGGAGGAGAGCUGGCAGGGGAGGAGGAGGAGGGCUACAAAGAAAAGAACUGCAGUGGGAGAAGGAGAGUGGUGGAGAGUUGCAGGGGAGGGGAAGAGGGAGGAGGACUGGAGGAGGAGGAGGGCUGCAGAGGAGGAGGGUAGUGGAGGGCUGCAGAGGAGGAGGAAGAGGAGAAUAGGGAGGACAAAUCCACUCUAGCAGGGGAACGAAAGCAGCAUGGGGCAGACAGAUCCACUCUAGCAUUCCAAUCUCCCUAAGCCUUUGAAUCCCUUCUUCUACACUAGCCACGGGCGGCCAGGCAUGUCCAGUUAUCCCGUGGUGGGCCAUGUUUUGGCCCAUGUUUCAGCCAAGCAGCCAACCAACCAAUUAGAGCCCUUUCUAAAUGCAGAAUCUCUGCUUAGUGAGCCCGUAUCAAUAAACUUGGCCUGAUCUAACUCUAUGUUCCUCCUACCAUUCUCCCAGGCCCUCAAUAUGCACUCCCACGGUCCUGGGAUUUCUAUGUAAACUGGAAAACUCACGUUCUCUUGGCAGACACCGUGAGGCUGGGAGUUCCACAUGUGCUAUAAUCCAGCCACUGAAGGAUGAGAUUCUGGGUUUGAUUUUCAGUAGUCUCAGACCCGCAGCUAAAGGAGGUAAGAGUCUCUCUUGGGACAGUCAUAACUUUCAGAUUAUUCAUGUGACACUUCAGCUGGGAAUCUGAAUCCUGAGCUCACUCCCAUGAUACUUUUUCUGAGACAGAGUCUCACUCUGUAGCCCAGGCUGGAAUGCAGUGGGGCAAUCCCAGCUCACUGCAACCUCUGCCUCCCAGGUGCAAGUAAUUCUCCUGCCUCAGCCUCCCGAGUAGCUGGG
This 1220-nucleotide long non-coding RNA is filed under the name Pan troglodytes (chimpanzee). RNAcentral's name for it is "long non-coding RNA NONPTRT011226". Lineage: Eukaryota; Metazoa; Chordata; Mammalia; Primates; Hominidae. The record is from RNAcentral.